GCUUACCAUGCAGUCGAGCGCCCCGCAGGGGAGCGGCAUACGGGUGAGUAACGCGUGGGAAUCUACAAUCUCUACGGAAUAACCCAGGGAAACUUGGACUAAUACCGUAUACGCCCCUCGGGGGAAAGAUUUAUCGGAGAUGGAUGAGCCCGCGUUGGAUUAGCUAGUUGGUGGGGUAAAGGCCUACCAAGGCGACGAUCCAUAGCUGGUCUGAGAGGAUGAUCAGCCACACUGGGACUGAGACACGGCCCAGACUCCUACGGGAGGCAGCAGUGGGGAAUAUUGGACAAUGGGCGAAAGCCUGAUCCAGCCAUGCCGCGUGAGUGAUGAAGGCCCUAGGGUUGUAAAGCUCUUUCAACGGUGAAGAUAAUGACGGUAACCGUAGAAGAAGCCCCGGCUAACUUCGUGCCAGCAGCGGCGGUAAU
RNAcentral lists this ribosomal RNA (425 nucleotides) under uncultured bacterium. Its description in RNAcentral is "bacterial SSU rRNA". It matches the Rfam family "Bacterial small subunit ribosomal RNA", at positions 46 to 524 of the family's 1533-position model. The record is from RNAcentral.